RNAcentral lists this ribosomal RNA (468 nucleotides) under uncultured bacterium. Its description in RNAcentral is "partial 16S ribosomal RNA". It matches the Rfam family "Bacterial small subunit ribosomal RNA", at positions 28 to 507 of the family's 1533-position model. The record is from RNAcentral.
GACGAACGCUGGCGGCGUGCUUAACACAUGCAAGUCGAACGGAAAGGCCCUGCUUUUGUGGGGUGCUCGAGUGGCGAACGGGUGAGUAACACGUGAGUAACCUGCCCUUGACUUUGGGAUAACUUCAGGAAACUGGGGCUAAUACCGGAUAGGAGCUCCUGCUGCAUGGUGGGGGUUGGAAAGUUUCGGCGGUUGGGGAUGGACUCGCGGCUUAUCAGCUUGUUGGUGGGGUAGUGGCUUACCAAGGCUUUGACGGGUAGCCGGCCUGAGAGGGUGACCGGCCACAUUGGGACUGAGAUACGGCCCAGACUCCUACGGGAGGCAGCAGUGGGAAAGAUUGCACAAUGGGCGGAAGCCUGAUGCAGCAACGCCGCGUGCGGGAUGACGGCCUUCGGGUUGUAAACCGCUUUCGCCUGUGACGAAGCGUGAGUGACGGUAAUGGGUAAAGAAGCACCGGCUAACUACGUG